Molecule: long non-coding RNA, 1487 nt
Filed under: Laticauda laticaudata (blue-ringed sea krait)
Lineage: Eukaryota; Metazoa; Chordata; Lepidosauria; Squamata; Elapidae
Description: lncRNA (ENSLLTG00000010590.1)
Source: RNAcentral
GCCGAACAAGUAAUAGCCUCCUCUUCCGCUCCCUUGGCGGGGCGCUCUAGCCCUCCGACCUCGCGGCCCGGCCGCCGAGCUGGCGCCUGCGCGUUGCUGCCGAGUCGUCUCCCGCCCGGUCUCUCCCUCUCUCUCUUCCCCGCCCCCCCCCUCUUCUUCUGCUUAGCUGAAGCGGCGGCGGGUCGCANCCCCCCCUCUUCUUCUGCUUAGCUGAAGCGGCGGCGGGUCGCAGGUUGAGGCGAGGCGGGCGCGGGCCUCCGCCAGCUAUGGACCUGGAGGCGUCCGACGAGACGGGCUCCACUGGAGGAGCCGAGGCGGGAGCCGGAGCCGUCACCCCCGAAGCGGGCGGUUGGGGUUCGCCGCCGGACUCGGCUGCAGGAGGAGGGCUGGCUUUGAAGAAGGCAGUUCUAACAGAGCCACCAUCGCUGACAGGGCAGCCGGGAGCCAGCCAGGGGAAAAAGAUAGGCCACCGAGGAGUUGAUGCAUCAGGGGAAACGACGUAUAAGAAGACCACAUCAACCACGCUGAAGGGGGCAAUCCAGCUGGGGAUUGGCUACACUGUGGGAAACCUGAGCUCUAAACCUGAGAGGGAUGUUUUGAUGCAAGAUUUCUAUGUGGUGGAGAGCAUUUUCUUUCCCAGUGAAGGCAGUAAUCUAACUCCGGCGCACCAUUAUCCCGACUUCAGAUUCAAAACAUACGCGCCCGUCGCUUUCCGCUAUUUUCGAGAACUUUUUGGCAUUCGUCCAGAUGAUUAUUUGUAUUCCUUGUGCAACGAGCCACUGAUCGAGCUCUCCAAUCCUGGGGCCAGCGGCUCCCUCUUCUAUGUCACUAGCGACGAUGAAUUCAUCAUCAAGACUGUGAUGCACAAAGAGGCAGAAUUCCUCCAGAAACUUCUUCCGGGUUAUUAUAUGAACCUGAACCAGAAUCCACGGACGUUGCUGCCAAAGUUCUACGGUCUCUACUGCGUCCAGUCUGGGGGCAAAAACAUCCGUGUGGUGGUGAUGAAUAACAUCCUGCCCCGGGUGGUAAAGAUGCACCUGAAAUACGAUCUCAAAGGCUCCACCUACAAACGUCGGGCGUCUAAGAAAGAGAAGGAUAAGUCAAGCCCCACCUACAAAGAUUUGGACUUCAUGCAGGAUAUGCCCGAGGGCAUCAUGCUAGAUGCAGAUACGUUCAACGCUCUGGUGAAGACAUUGCAGAGGGACUGUUUGGUGCUGGAGAGUUUCAAAAUAAUGGAUUACAGCCUGCUCCUUGGGGUGCACAACAUAGACCAGCUGGAACGGGAACGACAGGUUGACGGUGCCCAAAGCCUGUCUGAUGAAAAACGCCCCGUGGGACAGAAGGCUCUGUAUUCCACCGCCAUGGAGUCGAUCCAGGGUGGAGCUGCUCGAGGGGAACCCAUUGACACGGAUGACACGUAAGGAAUAUAGGCAGUUUUGAGUUCAGGUAGUCCUCAAAAACUGUUCAUUUAGUGACCAUUCGAAGUU